Molecule: unclassified non-coding RNA, 378 nt
Filed under: uncultured bacterium
Lineage: Bacteria
Description: contains 16S-23S intergenic spacer region
Source: RNAcentral
UCCGAGUUGACCCCGGCAGUCUCCCAUGAGUCCCCGCCAUUACGCGCUGGCAACAUGCAACGGGGGUUGCGCUCGUUGCGGGACUUAACCCAACAUCUCACGACACGAGCUGACGACAGCCAUGCACCACCUGUGACAGUGCCCAUAAGGGAGGAUGUGUUUCCACACCUGUCACUGACAUGUCAAGCCCAGGUAAGGUUCUUCGCGUUGCGUCGAAUUAAACCACAUGCUCCACCGCUUGUGCGGGCCCCCGUCAAUUCCUUUGAGUUUCAGCCUUGCGGCCGUACUCCCCAGGCGGGGCACUUCAUGCGUUAGCGCCGGUACUCCAAGGGUCGCUCCCCGGAGCACCUAGUGCCCAUCGUUUACGGCGUGGACUAC